This 986-nucleotide long non-coding RNA is filed under the name Bemisia tabaci. Its description in RNAcentral is "lncRNA ENSSSA2NGG004811". Lineage: Eukaryota; Metazoa; Arthropoda; Insecta; Hemiptera; Aleyrodidae. The record is from RNAcentral.
AAGAAUUCGUCUCUCGGGUCAUGGUUCCAACAGGAAGAUGAGGUUGUCUUUCAUCGCCAGGGAAGUCUUGACUCUGAUUGCAGGACAGAAUCAUCUUUCAGCCCAUCACCUCCAACUGAUACUCGCAUGACAGUUUCUGACCUUUUUACAAACCUGAAUGCACCCAGGAGCUCUUACAUGGGAGUGCCAACGGAUCAAACGGACAAGGCUUGGACUAUUUUAACAACUCGAUCCAAUCACCCUCGUACUCAAGCCAGACUUCCCAGUCUAACAGGUUUCAGUUCACAAUGCCUCAUCAAGAAAGUGCAUUUGACUCAAGUUUCUUCUUGGACUCACCACCUGCAAUGAGAAACUCCAGCUUCAGUUCAAGCGGCCCUGGAACUCCGUGCACUCCUUGUACGCCUGGAACACCACCAAUUGGCGGGUACAGCGAUCCCUUCUCUAGAUCCAUGGCUCAACAUCAAGCUCAGGGACGCGCGAUCAGAGGCUCACCUCCAUAUAGAAUGGAUUGCGGCAGCCCAGUUAUUGACCAGGCCCCUCUUUUAAGCACUAGAUCACUUUCACCAGCUGACUCUGAUGGAAGCAGUUCAAACUUUGACUCUAUGUCUGACCUCAUGGCAUCUUUGAAUUUGUGUGCUGGAUCUAACAACUUUGUGAAUCCUGCUCAAUCAAAUGGCCGAAAUGGUCAAUCUUGGCCCAGUGGAUUAUCCGAACAAGAGUUGACUAACUUGUACGCGUUGAAUGCCUUAUACAACAACAAUAACCUGAUGGAAAGCAACCGUACGUUACAAAUGCUGCUCUCGAACCUCGUCCAGAGAAAUUUAGCCACAAACAUCACAGCAGCCAGCUUAUUUGGGCAGAAUCCUCUCAACUCUUUCAAUUUGAAAGAAAUGCUCCAUCAAAUUAUAGAAAUCACCCACAAAGUGAGUACUACUUCUUGUUUUAUCCUAAAAUUUACCGAUGUAAUCAACAAUUUCUCAAAAUGA